This is a long non-coding RNA of Sciurus carolinensis (gray squirrel), 2287 nucleotides long. RefSeq lists it as uncharacterized. The record is from RefSeq and is a predicted model, not a curated record. The transcript is spliced from 7 exons. Lineage: Eukaryota; Metazoa; Chordata; Mammalia; Rodentia; Sciuridae.
GUCCACGAGUCUGGGAACCCUGGAGACCACCGGCGGCGGAUAGCCGCGAAAUCCCGAGGUGGUUAACCGGGUCUCACGGCGGCGGCGAGGAGAGGGAGCGCUAGCCUGGGGUGCGCGAGCCCGGCGCAGCCCGCUGGGAGCACAGGGGCGCGGGCGCGAGCGCGCGGAUGGAGGACGCGUGGCCGGCCGGCUCGGAGCGGAGGCGGAAGCGGCCGAGUUGCGGGGGCGGCCCGGGUGACGCUGCGGCCCUUCGAGCCCUUCUCCAGGGCGGCGGCGACUGGAGCUUCAUCUGCUGCGAGAAAGAGGAGGUGGACCUACAGGACCUGCCCAGCGCCACCAUCGCCUGCCACCUGGACCCCCGCGUGUUCCUGGACGGCCUGUGCCGGCUUUACAGCAGCCAGCUCCUUUUUCUGAUGAAAUUGAAGUUGACUUUAGUAAGCCCUAUGUCAGGGUAACUAUGGAAGAAGCCAGCAAAGGAACACCUUGUUGCCAGAACUACUAACUUCUACCAAUUGAAGGACAGGGUUGCUGAAACCAGUGAAAUCUGUUUUCAAGGCCUAUGUCGGAAUUGUAUGCUGGACGUGAAGGUACAUACUUGUAAUUCCAGUGACGGGAGAUUGAGGCAAGAAGAUUUCAGGUUACAGUGUUGUUGUAAAGAUUCCCACAGGAGCAACAAACAUUGAAAUUCUUCAGCACAGCUAUUCUGGAAAACCAGAAGAUGACAAUCACCUCGGUAAACAUUUUUGCCCUAUCUGAUGCCCAAGGGAAUUUUCUUUUAAAUGGAGGUUUUGUUGUGAGUAUGUUAAAAGAAGAAAUAAACAUACAAGGAGCUCUUUUUGAAUACAGUGUAUCAAACAACUCAAUUGAAAGAAUUAACAGUACUGAUCGAUUGGAAGAAGAACUUGUUUUACAGGUGGCUAUGUAUGGGUAAUUUAUACAACCCUGAUGUACGAUAUUCCUUCCAUGUCCCUGUGGAGGAUACAAGUGACCUGUUCACAUGGGAGCACAUGGACCAUGACAAGACUGUACCAAAAUGUGUCAAGGUACCCCGUUUUUAAAAAGAGAUGGUGGUUUAACUACAUGCUGUUGUCAUUCAGUCCCUUUGAGUCGGGCUGCUAUGGAAUCCUCCUCCUUUCCAUAUGACACACAGACAAAAGUAUAGUUUUAUUUUCUCCUUACUUUUCCCUCUCUUUGUGUUUCUUACUUAACAGCCCCCACUUAAAACUACCCUUUUCAACUGUUCCUGGUACAUUUUCACAUUCUUAUUCUCAUUCUCUUUCUCUCUCUUCCUUAUUUGUUUUUGCAAUUGCAGACAUUUUCUCUAACUUAGUUACAUCCCUCUUCCUAGUGAAAUACCUACCUUCUCAUCCACUCUUCUCCACACACUUUUUCUUAGCAACCUGUCUCCCUCUUUUUGUGUUGAGAUUUCAAACAUUGUGUCAUUCUUUCAUUUCCCUUCCCUGGUUGUGUACUGGUGGCUUGAAUGACUGAAAGGAACAGAGAAGAAAUGGAAGAGAAAUUUAUAGUUGGGACAGCAAAUGGGAAGACUAGAGUCUUUGUGUAGUGCAUAAUUAUGGAUGCUUAGUUGUGCAAUACAUGUUCAAUGAAGGACAUUUAUUGAGGGGUUGCUUUGUUUUAGGUCAUUAAUGAGACCCCAGUUAUGCAUUCAGGUUUUAAAGUCUAGUGGAUGCAACAGAAGCAUGAGUAGAAAUCAUAAUGUUAAAUAGUAGUAUAAUAGUAAUAAAAUGGUAAAUGCAAUACCUUAUCAUUGUGUGUUUCAGAGAUGAUUAGAGAAAGAAGGUGUGAGUAGACUGAAGCUGAGGUAUAGAGAAGAUGUAUGGAAUGGAGAAGUCAUUUUCUUUGAGAAUAGAGAGAAAGCUUAAGAAUAGGGGAAAACAGUGGUCAGAGGAAAGGAAGCCUAGAGUAGCAUGGAGAUGAUCCUAUAGGAGGAAGCAGGUGACCAGAGGCAGUGGCCACAGAUGAUAAGAAUGUGAGGAACAGUCUAGUUAACUGAUGUGACCAGGUUCCACAGGAACUGUGCUGCUUCAUUCAGGAAGAGGCCCACCUGUGGUCCUGUCGCUUUGGGACAGUGAUGCACAGAGUAAUUGAAUGGGAACAGGCAUUCCUGAAACUGCUUGGGCAGUGUCACCAAGAAGGGUGUGGUAGUGGGUGACUACCAGGUCAGCUGGAAUAAAUGCUAAAGUAGAAACAGUGGCUUUGGUAAUGCAGAAGGAAGAACUAACUUGGUGGAAAGGCCCUGGGUGUACUUUAUUGAAGAGUAUUGGAA